Molecule: ribosomal RNA, 465 nt
Filed under: Vreelandella stevensii
Lineage: Bacteria; Pseudomonadati; Pseudomonadota; Gammaproteobacteria; Oceanospirillales; Halomonadaceae
Description: partial 16S ribosomal RNA
Rfam family: Bacterial small subunit ribosomal RNA
Source: RNAcentral
CCUACGGGCGGCAGCAGUGGGGAAUAUUGGACAAUGGGCGAAAGCCUGAUCCAGCCAUGCCGCGUGUGUGAAGAAGGCCUUCGGGUUGUAAAGCACUUUCAGUGGGGAAGAAAGCCUUGGGGCUAAUACCCUCGAGGAAGGACAUCACCCACAGAAGAAGCACCGGCUAACUCCGUGCCAGCAGCCGCGGUAAUACGGAGGGUGCGAGCGUUAAUCGGAAUUACUGGGCGUAAAGCGCGCGUAGGCGGUCUGAUAAGCCGGUUGUGAAAGCCCCGGGCUCAACCUGGGAACGGCAUCCGGAACUGUCAGGAUAGAGUGCAGGAGAGGAAGGUAGAAUUCCCGGUGUAGCGGUGAAAUGCGUAGAGAUCGGGAGGAAUACCAGUGGCGAAGGCGGCCUUCUGGACUGACACUGACGCUGAGGUGCGAAAGCGUGGGUAGCAAACAGGAUUAGAUACCCCUGUAGUC